GAAAAUUGUGAAAUCGGUCUUGACACUCUAAGCUCUUUAAGUUUUGAGAACCUUGGUAUAUAUAUGAAACUAUUUGUAUUACUAUAUGCAGACGAUACUGUUAUAUUUGCAGAAUCACCACAGGAAUUAAAACAAGCACUUAAUGUUUUUGAAAAUUAUUGUAACUUAUGGAAACUCAAAGUUAAUGUAUCAAAAACAAAAGUUG
Molecule: long non-coding RNA, 205 nt
Filed under: Mytilus galloprovincialis (Mediterranean mussel)
Lineage: Eukaryota; Metazoa; Mollusca; Bivalvia; Mytilida; Mytilidae
Source: RNAcentral